GAUGCAAAAGUGUAGUAAUUCCCUAUGAACAUGAUAUCUACCCCUUUCCAUGCAUGAUUGAGCCUCCCUUUUAACUAUUACCCAGAAGUAUAUUACAAUGUUAUUACAACCCAGAAUGAAUAAGAAAAGCAAAAUUACAUCAGAAAUUAAAGUACAACCAAGGGGAGCCUAAUUUAUACUCCAGGUCUGAAAUAUGAGAUGAAACUACUCCAAAGAUCAGGAUCCAAAGCCUUUCUCUCAUUUGGAUGUGUUAGAGUUUCCUAAGAGCCUCAAAUGGACACUGGGAAGUGCUCACACCCAAACACAUACAUGAUUAAGAACAUAGUACAGUGUGACAGGGUAAGCCCUCAAGUAUCCAAGUUCAAAUGGAACUCAAGGUCCUAAGGCAAGGCUUACAGGAGGGGAGAAAAACUUAGAAGCUAAGAUUUAGUGUAAGUGCAGAGUUUAAAAGGGUAAGGGGAAGUGGUAAAGAAGAAAGGACAGGCUAGUGGGCAUACCCAGCAAUAAGGGAUGCUAGCACACCCAACAAGCCUAUUAGAACAUAUUGUUUUCGGAGUCAGAAUCCCCUAAGGGAUCAAGUCCAAACAUGAACAAUAUCUUGUAUAUUGCCAUGUCCUGAACUAAAACUCAAAGCAUAUAAAAGGGAUCGGGUGCAGGGAUUCAUAGCAGAAGCAGGCAAAAAAAAAAUUAACAUACUAGUUUUAAACAUUUAACUCCACACAGACAAUAAAGUAUACAUGAAUGUAAAAGCUGUAAGUAAACAUAUUGGGAUGAUGCUGAAAGCCAAAACUAGAACAUACUUGUUUCAAGGAAACAAUCAAGAUAAAAGAAGUAGUCUUGUAAAGGCAAAGUGCAAGCAAGCAGUCAAGAUGCUAUGAGUUUAGAAGAGAACUGUGAGAUUAUAAGUGUCUCAAGUAUGAAAUGUGUAAAAAUGUUGAACGGAAGGUGUGUUAAAGUGCAGAAGGGCCGUGCCCUUUUAUAAUGUAGAAUGUAAGAACAAAUAGGAAAGAAAAUAGUUUGGAAAUUAAUUACACAAGGUCUCCCUUUAAUUAAGGGAUUCUGAUUUCAAACAAGAAAACUAACUAAGGAAAGAGAUUAAUCAAAAAAUUUUCAAAGAAGUAUAAGAGGGGUAAAUCCAUAAAGGUCUAUUUAAGUACAAUGUCUUGACAAUACACGGUUUGUGUAAACAAGGAAAAGAAAUCAGUUAACAUCCAAAAAAAUCAAAAAUUGAAGUUUUUGUAUGAAUGAACCAAGUUAGAAAUAUGCGAGAUAUUUUAACUUAAGGCAAAUCAGUACCCAUCAACUAGACUUAUUAAAAGGAAUUCUGAAUCAAUCACAAGUUGGAAACCCAUUUGAACAAAGAUUAAUCACAUCUAAAAGAAUGUAGACCAUUUAAACAAGAAAGAACUAUCAUGCUACUCAAUAGACGAGUUUAGUGCUGGAGAAUCAGGAUUGAGUGCAAACAAGAAAAAUUCACACUUAGUUCAUAGACUCAGAAAUAAAUCUGAAAGAGUCAAGGGUUCUGUAACAGAACCCUAGUUCGAUCAUAUGACCAAACUCGGAGGAAGCCUCCCAAAUUCCAGGGUUUCUGAUUUGAGUCAGGUAUAGAGAUGAGGAGGCAACAGGCUCAGAGAUUUCUUUUUAUAAUCUCAUGAGAAUACAAGCAAAUAGAUAAUUCAAAGCAGACAGAGUGAAGGAACUAACUCGAAGGAAAUAUGAGAGAAUUAGCAUAGUAGUAGAAGAAACACAAUUAAGAAAAAUCUUUUAGAAAGGACUUAAACAUGGUUUAGUGGAAGAGAAAAAAAUAACACUUGAGAACACAAUAGAAGAUAUAGUAGAAAAAAGUACUUUUCAGAAGGAACAUAGACAAGGUUCAGAAGGGAACAUUGAUAGUGUAACACUUAAGAAAACAGUAGAAGAAACAUGUUUAGAGAGAACUCAAACAAGGUUCAAUAGAAGGAAAACAAAGAACUUAAGAAAUUAGUAGAAAAUAUAGUAGAAGAACAUAGAAAAACAUAGCAAGAUAAACAUGUGAUAACAUAGUAUAGAAAUACAGUAGGAAGUCGAAAUAUAGAAAGAAUAGAAGAACAUGUAAGCAAGAAGAAGAAGCACAUGCAUGGUAAAAAAAACAUAUAGUAACAGUGAAAACAAAUACACAGAAAGAAAGUAUAGAAAAGUCAGAUAAACAUUUUAAACCUUUCAAAAAACCCUAAAUUGAAGAGAAGUGAUUUGAAAAGAUAAUUCUUUUUGAAAGAAAAAUUGAGAAAAACCUUUAAAAACUCAAGUAAAGCACAGAUAUAUAACAGAUCUAAGAACAAAUCAGAGAAAACCUCAAAUUGGUAGGGUUUCAGGGGAACCCUAAAAUGAGAUAAGCUUUCCAAAGGUACGAUCUGAGUUGGAGAAGGUUAGAACCGGGCUCAAAACACAAUAGUUUGGGGGAGUAGGGUCGAAGAUGGCCAUAGAACCUUGGAUUGACGAAGAUCUGAACGGACACCUUUGAGUUCAGGCCUCGAACCUUCGAAUACAAAGUGUUAAGAGUAGAUGGAGAUGAAUUUAAGCCCUUCAUGGCCUGAAAGGACAUGGAUUCCGGUAAGAUUAAGGUUGAAGAUUGUGAGAGAGGCUAGGGUUUUGAGAGAGUUUGAGAGGAGAAGAAUUUCAGAGGCAGCUG
Molecule: long non-coding RNA, 2668 nt
Filed under: Nicotiana benthamiana
Lineage: Eukaryota; Viridiplantae; Streptophyta; Magnoliopsida; Solanales; Solanaceae
Description: long non-coding RNA (NBEN_LNC028873)
Source: RNAcentral